Long non-coding RNA from Dreissena polymorpha, 460 nucleotides. RefSeq lists it as uncharacterized. The transcript has 5 exons. Lineage: Eukaryota; Metazoa; Mollusca; Bivalvia; Myida; Dreissenidae. The record is from RefSeq and is a predicted model, not a curated record.
AACAAACAACAGCAACAACUUGGCUGUAACACUUGAGAAGUUUAUUGAUUACACAGUCACUUAUGAACUAUGAGUGAAGACCUGUAUGAGUAUGAUUCUGAAGGAACUGAUGGCAGUGAUGCAGUUAUAGAGAUUUCAGAUUCGGACGAAACUUUGCCGCCAUCUGACAAAGAAACACAGCCAUCUCUGGAGGAAUGUGGUCAGGAAGUUGAAUGGUCCCAGUCACCAUAAGAAUAUUUUGAUUAUUAUUUUUAUAUUCCAUCCCAUGGUGAUCGGGGACUAAGAAAACAGUGUAGACAAAUGAGCUUGCAUUCCAGGAGGGGGAAGUUCUAAAUAACUCGUAUACAGCACUGUUGCAGCCAACCGGGUUUCCUUUUCUGUGUGAAAUGUUUAAUAUAUGUAAAAUAUGUUAAUGCAAUCUUUAAUUCUGUUAUAUAAACAAAUAUAUAGUACUUUUUAA